This 1357-nucleotide ribosomal RNA is filed under the name uncultured bacterium. Its description in RNAcentral is "partial 16S ribosomal RNA". It matches the Rfam family "Bacterial small subunit ribosomal RNA", at positions 28 to 1381 of the family's 1533-position model. The record is from RNAcentral.
GAUUAACGCUGGCGGCGUGCAUAACACAUGCAAGUCGAACGAUGAAACUCAUUAGAUUUCUUCGGAAUGAAAAUGAAUGGAUUAGUGGCGAACGGGUGAGUAACGCGUGAGUAACCUGCCUUACACAAGGGGAUAGCCUCUGGAAACGGAGAAUAAUACCCUAUGAAAUUACAGCUUCGCAUGAAGCAGUAAUCAAAGUGUUAGCGGUGUAAGAUGGACUUGCGUCUGAUUAGCUAGUUGGUGAGAUAAAAGCUCACCAAGGCAACGAUCAGUAGCCGGCUUGAGAGAGUGUACGGCCACAUUGGGACUGAGACACGGCCCAGACUCCUACGGGAGGCAGCAGUGGGGAAUUUUGCACAAUGGGGGAAACCCUGAUGCAGCGACGCCGCGUGAUUUAGAAAGCCUUCGGGUUGUAAAAAUCUUUUGUAUAGGAAGAAAAUGACAGUACUAUACGAAUAAGGUCCGGCUAAUUACGUGCCAGCAGCCGCGGUAAUACGUAAGGACCGAGCGUUGUCCGGAAUCAUUGGGCGUAAAGGGUACGUAGGCGGGUUUUUAAGUUAGAAGUCAAAGGCUAUAGCUCAACCAUAGUAAGCUUCUAAAACUGGGGACCUUGAGUAAUGGAAGGGAAAGUGGAAUUCCUAGUGUAGCGGUGGAAUGCGCAGAUAUCAGGAAGAACACCGGUGGCGAAGGCGGGUCUCUGGGCCGUUACUGACGCUGAGGAGCGAAAGCGUGGGGAGCGAACAGGAUUAGAUACCCUGGCAGUCCACGCCGUAAACGUUGGGCACUAGGUGUGGGGGGCCUUUUCCGGGUUUUCCGCGCCGUAGCUAACGCAUUAAGUGCCCCGCCUGGGGAGUACGGCCGCAAGGCUAAAACUCAAAGGAAUUGACGGGGGCCCGCACAAGCGGCGGAGCAAGCGGAUUAAUUCGAUGCAACGCGAAGAACCUUACCAAGGCUUGACAUGUGCCGGUCGGCUCCGGAGACGGGGUUUCCUCCUUGUGGGGCCGGUUCACAGGUGGUGCAUGGUUGUCGUCAGCUCGUGUCGUGAGAUGUUGGGUUAAGUCCCGCAACGAGCGCAACCCUUGUCUCGUGUUGCCAGCACGUUGUGGUGGGGACUCGCGGGAGACUGCCGGGGUCAACUCGGAGGAAGGUGGGGAUGACGUCAAAUCAUCAUGCCCCUUAUGUCUUGGGCUUCACGCAUGCUACAAUGGCCGGUACAGAGGGCUGCGAUACCGUGAGGUGGAGCGAAUCCCUUAAAGCCGGUCUCAGUUCGGAUCGGUGUCUGCAACUCGACACCGUGAAGUUGGAGUCGCUAGUAAUCGCAGAUCAGCAACGCUGCGGUGAAUACGUUCUCGGGCCU